GAUGAAGAACGUAGCAAAAUGCGAUAAGUAAUGUGAAUUGCAGAAUUCAGUGAAUCAUCGAAUCUUUGAACGCACAUUGCGCCCGCUGGUAUUCCGGCGGGCAUGCCUGUUCGAGCGUCAUUUCAACCCUCAAGCCCCCGGGUUUGGUGUUGGGGAUCGGCUCUGCCCUUCUGGGCGGUGCCGCCCCCGAAAUACAUUGGCGGUCUCGCUGCAGCCUCCAUUGCGUAGUAGCUAACACCUCGCAACUGGAACGCGGCGCGGCCAUGCCAUAAAACCCCAACUUCUGAAUGUUGACCUCGGAUCAGGUAGGAAUACCCGCUGAACUUAAGCAUAUCAAUAAGCGGAGGA
This 348-nucleotide unclassified non-coding RNA is filed under the name soil metagenome. RNAcentral describes it as "partial contains 5.8S ribosomal RNA, internal transcribed spacer 2, and large subunit ribosomal RNA". The stretch from base 1 to 120 matches the Rfam family "5.8S ribosomal RNA", at positions 35 to 154 of the family's 154-position model. The record is from RNAcentral.